CAAGGCGACGAUCCCUAGCUGGUCUGAGAGGAUGAUCAGCCACGUCAGAACUGAGACACGGUCCAGACUCCUACGGGAGGCAGCAGUGGGGAAUAUUGCACAAUGGGCGCAAGCCUGAUGCAGCCAUGCCGCGUGUGUGAAGAAGGCCUUCGGGUUGUAAAGCACUUUCCUGAGUGAGGAAGGUAGUGUAGUUAAUAGCUGCAUUAUUUGACGUUAGCGACAGAAGAAGCACCGGCUAACUCCGUGCCAGCAGCCGCGGUAAUACGGAGGGUGCGAGCGUUAAUCGGAAUUACUGGGCGUAAAGCGCAUGCAGGUGGUUUGUUAAGGACUAUGUGAAAGCCCGGGGCUCAACCUCGGAAUUGCAUUUGAAACUGGCAGACUAGAGUACUGUAGAGGGGGGUAGAAUUUCAGGUGUAGCGGUGAAAUGCGUAGAGAUCUGAAGGAAUACCGGUGGCGAAGGCGGCCCCCUGGACAGAUACUGACACUCAGCGUAGAAAGCGUGGGGAGCAAACAGGAUUAGAUACCCUGGUAGUCCACGCCGUAAACGAUGUCUACUUGGAG
RNAcentral lists this ribosomal RNA (561 nucleotides) under Vibrio sp. PASRS78. Its description in RNAcentral is "bacterial SSU rRNA". It matches the Rfam family "Bacterial small subunit ribosomal RNA", at positions 269 to 822 of the family's 1533-position model. The record is from RNAcentral. Lineage: Bacteria; Pseudomonadati; Pseudomonadota; Gammaproteobacteria; Vibrionales; Vibrionaceae.